GGGAAGGUGGCUCAGUGACAGAGUGUAUGCCUCCCAUGCAUGAAGCCCUGGGUUCGAUUCCUCAGCCCA
RNAcentral lists this transfer RNA (69 nucleotides) under Dipodomys ordii (Ord's kangaroo rat). It matches the Rfam family "tRNA", at positions 1 to 62 of the family's 71-position model. Rfam says of the family: Transfer RNA (tRNA) molecules are approximately 80 nucleotides in length. Their secondary structure includes four short double-helical elements and three loops (D, anti-codon, and T loops). Lineage: Eukaryota; Metazoa; Chordata; Mammalia; Rodentia; Heteromyidae. The record is from Rfam by way of RNAcentral.